GCCUGCUUCUCCCUCUGCCUGUGUCUCUGCCUCUCUCUCUCUCUCUCUCUCUGUGACUAUCAUAAAUAAAUAAAAAUUUUUUAAAAAAAUGUUGACCUUUUAGAAAAUAGCAGAGAACAAAACCUCACUUAUAAUUGUAAGCAGGCGAAAUAACAUUUCCUAACAAAUUGUUCAUAAAAACUAAAUACAUUUCUUCCUGUGAUAUAAAAGCCAAAUCAAUUAGGAUUUAAAAGACAAAAUCAGUGACCUUUUAGAAUUCUUAUAAAUAAGAGAAAUUAAAAUUGUUUCCGUUGAUUUCAAAGGGAAACAUUCUUCUCUAAUAUUGUCAAAAUAUGACAAUUGUGCAUAUAUUAAAUCCAUGAGACACAUAAUCGAGAAGCAGCAGAGAUAUUCCUGAUGGAAAACAGUGUGGGUAAAAAGCAAUUUCCUCUUAGUAAACAAAAAUAGCAAACUUAAUCCUGAUAGAAUUUCUCAGAUGUCUGACUGAAGGAAGGAAAUAGGCUGUGGCAAUUUCUAGUUUGGCACAAAGUGAUGAUUUGCUUUUGAUCCGGCUCGGACUUGCUCUACAUAAUCCCGGGUUUUUUCCACAUGGAUGUGAGCUGUUACCUUCUGUUGUUUAACUAGCAUUUUUCCUCCAAACAAGAGACAAUUUAGGUAAGUGUGGUCUCAGCCUCUUCUGAGUGUCUGCUUGUGUGACUACAAUAAUACAAAUACCAGGAAAUAUGUUCUGUUUUCCUCAAAUAUUACAAAGUCCUCUGCAGGCACACCCACAGCAAUGCCUGUGCCGUGAGUUUAGGAACUUCCAACCCGAUGGCACACUUAAAAGGCAGUAAUGAUGUAGGAACAGUCAGUAUGCUAAAUAAUAGCCCUAGCUGCUUAUCCUCAUGCUAGAAAGCUUUUGUAUUUUAAAAAUUUUAAUACAAAGAUUUGACUUGUUGUAGUUCAAAUAUUGAACAUCCAAGUAUUUUAAACUUGACAAACAAAACUUUUACAUUCAGAUAAGAGUAUAGUUGUGUUUUUUGUGCUUUAAGGGAUGGGUAGGGAAUGAGGGAGAGAGGGACAGUCUUAAGCAGGCCCCAUUCCCAGCACAGAGCCCAACUCCAGGCUUGAUCUCACAACCCUGAGAUGACAUGAGCAGAAAUCCAGAGUCAGACACUUAACCAACUGAGCCACCCAGGUGCCCCCACACAGGUAAUUUGUUAUCCAAGCCAGAACACUGAUAAAGACGCUAAAUAAAAUGUGUUUCACCAGGAGUUCUAACCUGGCCAACAUCUUAAUGAGCAUGGUUCCAUGUGGGAGGAGAAAUUGUUGUUUAGCCUAAGAUUUAUUUAGCAUUAAAACACUGUCCAUUAUUACUUAAGAUUAUAAUAAUUUUCGCUUCUGGAAGAGGACAAUUCAAUUUGUAGUGUUUUGCCCAAUUUAAAAAACAUACAGAACAAAUCCCAAGCUAGGUUUUCUUAGAGUCUGGUAUUUGCAUCUUACAAACUCAAAGUACAAAUGCUCCUCACAUCUUUGACAUAUACCACUGCUAGGAAGAACAUCAUCAAGUCACUUCUACAUCUCAUAAAAGUAUGAUUUAUAGUGUCAGGAUUUUAGAUUUACUAGAAAUAGCCUAUACUUGAGUAUGUAUAUCAUGCUACACAAAAGUGUCCUCUGUUCAGACUGUUUACAAAUGCUUCUGUUCAUCAGGUUGAUUAAUGUACUCAUGUACAAAUCUGAUAAUUAGCUCCUGCAUUUUGAUAUUAGAUUACCCUGUUGAAGAAUAUUCAGAAUUAUUUUGUCUUGUGGGCUGAGGCUGUGGGAGCGGCAGGUGGAUCCUGGCAAUGCAGGUCAUUGACAAACACCACCAUCUGCUUCUCUCUCCUCUGGCACACAGUACAGUACUAGGUAACCAUCUAUCAUUCUGCAACAUUUUUCCUACACUUUUCAGAUGCUGGUCAGAUUCUUGGAUUAAAUUUUUAGAUCUAUUCUGUAAAAGAACAGAGGAUGUCUAUUUGCAGGAUUGACAAUCCAGCCUCUUUCAUAAGUUUUCACUUUCACUAACUUAACUAGUAUACAUUUGGUCUCAGAGUGUCUUCAGGUCCACUUCUUGUCUUCAGUGUGUUCUUCAAACUUUUUCUUCCUGUCACUGGAGGAGAACCUAAUGCACCAAGGAUCUUCCUUGAUGGUUUCAUGUCUUUCUAUAUGGAUGCUAAGGUAAUUGCAUUAGUUUCAUCCAGAUAUUGCCUUUUCUUUUUGGUAAGUGCUUCAAUGUGUUCAUUAAGCCUCUGUCUCUCCUCUUUCCAACAAAGAUCUAUAUUCCCAGUGAUCCUUUCAGAAAGUCCUUGAGCUACUGCAUCAUUACAAAUCUGAAGAACCUACCUCACCAGCCCUCAGUAAUGCAGGGUUUUUUCUAGAAAGGCCUAAGGUAUCUCCUGAGGUCAGUAUACCUCCAUACAUCUCAUACUGUUUCUUAAAACAGCUUUAUUGACUUACACAGUAUAUCAAUUAUAUAUCAGCAAAAAAAAAAAAAAAAAAA
RNAcentral lists this long non-coding RNA (2518 nucleotides) under Canis lupus familiaris (dog). RNAcentral describes it as "lncRNA (ENSCAFG00845007078.1)". Lineage: Eukaryota; Metazoa; Chordata; Mammalia; Carnivora; Canidae. The record is from RNAcentral.